Molecule: long non-coding RNA, 2089 nt
Filed under: Citrus maxima (pomelo)
Lineage: Eukaryota; Viridiplantae; Streptophyta; Magnoliopsida; Sapindales; Rutaceae
Description: long non-coding RNA (CMAX_LNC000038)
Source: RNAcentral
UCCAGAUUUCUACAUGCAAUACACUUCAAAUAUAUUGUGUGCAGGAAAGAGCAACCACACGUCUCAAUAUUUGAUGUGUACAGCAUUAAAGAAUUACAAUUAAUGGGAAGACUAUAAAAAGUCAGUGGGGGCUGUCAAAAGGGAACAGAGCAAUACAAACUGAGGAAAAACAGAGCAGGAGAAGAAGUCUAAGAAGAGGACGGUAACUUGUUUGUUUGCAACAACAAGAACCCUUAUUUGCAAUGGGGCUGAAAUACAGAGUUCUGAAAAACUCUACAAUUAUUAGUUCUCUUGUAUUCCUUUUUGCCUUUGUCAAUAAGGUUGAAUUUUUUGUGCAAUCCAUGCCCUAUGUGUCUUGUUCUUUUGUUUGGAGAGGAACGAAAGAGACGAAGAGGAGUUAGCAAAAACCAUCGUCAUUUAACUUCCCCUCAGCAUCACUUUAUAUGAACCCUACUGCUGAGAACUACUGAAGUGAUAAUUACUUCAAUGUGGCCGGGGUUGGGUAAGCCCAUCAUGCACAACCUUCCUAAGUCUAACAUCUCCCACUCGCCACUUGGGCUUGUAGCCCAGUGGUGGACUAUUGCCCUCAAAGUUAAGUAUGACUACGAGGACAAUGGUUCGAGUCCCCACGGACUCAACUUUCCUCAAUUAAAUAUAAUUGUGUGGAGAUUUCUUAUAACGUCUUUCUCCCUUGCGAAAUGCGAGUGGAGUAGAGACAUCCCUCAUCCGUGAGAGAUAUUUGGAUGGACAUGUACUUCAUAGAAUAAAAAUGUAAUAAUAUAAGUCUCAUGUAUUUAUAUAUGAUUGUAAAUAUCAGUGUAAUGACCUGCUGUCAUAACAGUUGUAUAUAUCUCUAUGUAAUAAAGUAACCUGAUGCUUAAUCAGUUUCAAAAAAAAAAAAAAAAAAAAACAUCUCCCACUCGUACAUGAGGGGAUGACAUUAUCCAUCAAUGCAUCAGAAAGAACUAUAACCAUUAGCACGUGUUGCAAUAUUCACACAGACAAAUAGACCGUGUGACCAAUGAAUACAUAAUUAAAAAACUUAUUGGAGCUAUGAGAUCUCAAUUGUAACUAUAUACAAGAGAUUCUCUUAUUUAUUCAUUACGUGCUAGAUUUAAUAUGUUACAUCAAUUAAAUUAGAAACUCCUAAAAUAUAGACAAUUUUGUCCAUAUUUCUGAGGAAAAAAAAGCCAUUUUUCACGGUCUUGACAAACUCUUCAUUUUUCCUAACCAUCUAAAUGUUAUCAUCAUCUUUGAUCUUUUAAUCAUGCAAGUAAUGGUUUCUUUAAUCAUCUAAACCUUGUAAUAAAUUAUAGUUUCAUGAAAUUUAAGAUACAAUUUUUCGAGAAUUGCUAUAAACAUUAUAUAUCUAGAUCUUUUUAGGGGUGCAUACUCUGCCCUCAAGACAUUUAACAACAAUACCAAGUAGUUUCUCUGUCGUCUACAAAAUCAAGGCAUUACAGUUAAGGAAUCAUAUUAUACCAUGAUCAUAUUUUUAAAUCAAUAAAACUUGUUUCCGUGGAUUUCAAACGUAUUGGAAAAAAAAAAAAAAACACACUAAGCUGGUUCUGAUACCAAUGCCAGAAUAUAUAGCAUGCUCCAUGAAUUCAAAAACAAUUACCUGAAUUCUUAUCUGUUGCAUGUGAAAGCGGAUGCGGAAGUGGAAGAACCAAGGUUGAAUCACAGUUCAAUUUGAUCGGAAAUCACAAAUUCGGAAAGCUUUCUCAAAUUACAAUUUAAGACUUACUUGAAAUGAAUUAUAGAGUUCUCAAAAACUAUCUAAUUAUUAUUUCUCUUGCAUUCCUCUCUGCCUUUACCUAUAAGGUUGCAUUCUUUAUAAUCCAUGCUCUCUGCAUCUUGUUACUUUGCUAGGAGAGAAGAUUAAAGAGAGGAAGAGAAAUUAGCAAAAUUCAACAUCAUUCAACUUCCCCUCAACUUUUCUUUAUAACUACGCUACUGGUAGAAAUUACCGAAGUGGUAUUUACUUCAAUAUAGGUUGGAUCGGGGCAGCCCAUCAUGGGCACCCUAUUCGACAACCUGCCAAGAUCUAAUACAAAGUAGGGGUCUGGUUCAGACUCCAGAGUUUUAU